RNAcentral lists this microRNA precursor (97 nucleotides) under Loxodonta africana (African savanna elephant). RNAcentral describes it as "mir-544 microRNA precursor family". It matches the Rfam family "mir-544 microRNA precursor family". The record is from Rfam by way of RNAcentral. Lineage: Eukaryota; Metazoa; Chordata; Mammalia; Proboscidea; Elephantidae.
AUCAGCUGGGGAUCUUGUUGAAAUGCAGAUUCUGAUUCAGUAGUUUUGAGGUAAAACCUCAGAUUCUACGUUUUUAACAAGCUCCCAGUGAUGCUGA